This 50-nucleotide small nuclear RNA is filed under the name Equus asinus (donkey). Its description in RNAcentral is "U7 small nuclear RNA (ENSEASG00005001569.2, ENSEASG00020021443.1)". It matches the Rfam family "U7 small nuclear RNA". From Rfam's summary of the family: Animal histone pre-mRNAs are spliced by a different mechanism than nuclear pre-mRNAs and self-splicing introns. This processing involves the U7 snRNP, which contains only one RNA species: U7. The record is from Rfam by way of RNAcentral. RNAcentral also lists the same sequence under 1 other name. Lineage: Eukaryota; Metazoa; Chordata; Mammalia; Perissodactyla; Equidae.
AUGUGUUACAGCUCUUUUAGAAUUUGUCUAGCAGGUUUUCCCCCACCCCC